UCGCCUCUAGUUGCCAGCAUUCAGUUGGGCACUCUAAGGUGACUGCCGGCUAAAAGUCGGAGGAAGUGGGGAUGAACGUCAAAUCAUCAUGCCCCUUAUGACCUGGGCUACACACAUGCUACAAUGGGCGGUACAAAGGGUCGCGAACCCGCGAGGGGGAGCCAAUCCCAAAAAGCCGCUCUCAGUUCGGAUUGCAGGCUGCAACUCGCCUGCAUGAAGCCGGAAUCGCUAGUAAUCGCGGAUCAGCAUGCCGCGGUGAAUACGUUCCCGGGCCUU
RNAcentral lists this ribosomal RNA (276 nucleotides) under uncultured Anoxybacillus sp. Its description in RNAcentral is "partial 16S ribosomal RNA". It matches the Rfam family "Bacterial small subunit ribosomal RNA", at positions 1105 to 1382 of the family's 1533-position model. The record is from RNAcentral. Lineage: Bacteria; Bacillati; Bacillota; Bacilli; Caryophanales; Anoxybacillaceae.